Molecule: transfer RNA, 74 nt
Filed under: Thiovulum sp. ES
Lineage: Bacteria; Pseudomonadati; Campylobacterota; Epsilonproteobacteria; Campylobacterales; Sulfurimonadaceae
Rfam family: tRNA
About the family: Transfer RNA (tRNA) molecules are approximately 80 nucleotides in length.
Source: Rfam by way of RNAcentral
GGGUCAAUAGCUCAGCUGGUUAGAGCAGACGGCUCAUAACCGUCUGGUCCGGGGUUCAAGUCCCUGUUGACCCA